UACGGAGGGUGCAAACGUUGCUCGGAAUUAUUGGGCGUAAAGCGCACGUAGGCGGUUCGUUAUGUCGGAUGUGAAAGCCCUCGGCUUAACCGAGGAAGUGCAUCCGAAACUGGCGAGCUUGAGUACGGAAGAGGGUCUCGGAAUUCCCGGUGUAGAGGUGAAAUUCGUAGAUAUCGGGAGGAACAUCAGUGGCGAAGGCGGAGACCUGGGCCGAUACUGACGCUGAGGUGCGAAAGCGUGGGGAGCAAACAGG
Molecule: ribosomal RNA, 253 nt
Filed under: uncultured bacterium
Lineage: Bacteria
Description: partial 16S ribosomal RNA
Rfam family: Bacterial small subunit ribosomal RNA
Source: RNAcentral